Molecule: transfer RNA, 71 nt
Filed under: Loxodonta africana (African savanna elephant)
Lineage: Eukaryota; Metazoa; Chordata; Mammalia; Proboscidea; Elephantidae
Rfam family: tRNA
About the family: Transfer RNA (tRNA) molecules are approximately 80 nucleotides in length. Their secondary structure includes four short double-helical elements and three loops (D, anti-codon, and T loops).
Source: Rfam by way of RNAcentral
ACGCUGGUGGUUCAGGGGUAGAAUUCUCACCUUCCAUGCAGGAGAUCUGGGUUUGGCUCCUGGCCAGUGUA